This 5013-nucleotide long non-coding RNA is filed under the name Nicotiana tabacum (common tobacco). RNAcentral describes it as "long non-coding RNA (NTAB_LNC014958)". Lineage: Eukaryota; Viridiplantae; Streptophyta; Magnoliopsida; Solanales; Solanaceae. The record is from RNAcentral.
GUUAAGCCAUAAUAGCAAAUAGGUAAAAGAGUGAAGAAAUAAUCAGAGUGUUGAUUUAAAGUUUUCUUACUUUGGUUAUAUAUUGCUAUGUGAUAAAACUAUGAUUAUUAUAAAGUAUCAUAUAUCAAAUAAGGUCCCAACAAGCCACAUAUUUAGAGGAACAAUCAGGAAACACAAAGAAAAAGGAAACGAGCAAUAUGGAAAUUCAAAAGAGUGAUUGACUGGCUCUUCUGCCAGCAUCCCAAAGGGAUAAUUUUCUUGCGGCUAUCUCAAGCAAUAAUGAGAAUGUGAGACGGAUGUUGACUCCAUGGUUGGCGCGGCAUCGUCGAGUCUCAAAAAGGGACUCUUCGGCUCCGCUGUUCAUACGAAACAAAGAAAAUAAAGUAAAGGAAGAGGUUAGAGAUACUCAUAGAAUAAAAUCAUAUAUGCUAUUUAAUGAAGGACAGAGAAACUCAUCGUUCUUAGUGUGCCUCCAAAAUAAUUCAAAUGUAUCCAAGUAAACAUACAUACAUUUGCUCAACCAAAUAGUGCAAAACUAAACCAAUAAACUACUUAUUACAAACAAAUGGGACACCAUUCAUACAUAUUAUGGGAUAUUCACACAAGCAGGUAGUAUGUGAGAGACAUAAUCUAAAUAUAAAGGAUAGAAACAGUAGCCAUUUUCCACAUAAAUCAAAGCAGCGUAAUUUGAACUUGAGAUUUAACAUUAUGAACAUACCGUUAAAUCUUCCUACAUGGUUUUUUUCAAUAGACAUGAAUAAAAUAAUUCCUAACAUCAUGAUAUCUAAGCAUAAAGUAACAUCAUUAAUUUAUGGAAGUGUACAAAUUUAUAUUGCAACUGAAGGGAACCAGAGAGAAGACUUAACCCAAUUUCAUUUAACUUCAUCACUAAUUUAUGAUAUAUGACUCGGCAAAAUAAGAAACCUAAAGUUCAAACCUGGUGUUUUAAAACUUAGACAAAUAACCUUAGAACUACUCAUUUAGUUAAAGAAGAAAUUCGGCAAAGCUAUGAGAAAAUACUUUACUAGAUCAUAAAUUCGAUAUAUAGCAUAUUAAUCAUCAAUACAUUUAUAAUCUACUCCUAUGUGAGAAUAAAGCAUCAACAAGUGUAACGAUCCGGCUGGUCGUUUCAGGAAUUACCGCUCCGUUUCCCCCCUUUUUCUGCUUCUUUAUGCUUUGUUCAUCUGUGUUAUACGGUAUCGGGUUGGUCGGUUGGAAUUCGGAAUGAUUUUCGAAAGGUUUGAGACAUUUAGUCUUUUCUGAGUAAGCUUAAGUUGAAAAAGUCAACCGGAUGUUGACUUAUGUGAAAAAGGUCUUGGAUGUGAAUUUCGAUUAUUCGGAUAGCUCCGUGAGGUGAUUUGGAACUUAGGAGCGUGAUGGGAAUGUGUUUUGGAGGUCUGUAGUAGAUUUAGGUUUGAAUUGGCGAAAUUGGAAUUUUGGCAUCUUUCCGGUUGGUAGCGGAGAUUUUGAUAUAAGGGUCAGAGUGGAAUUCCGGAAGUUGCAAUAGGUCCGUUGUGUCAUAUGUGACGUGUGUGCAAAAUUUCAGGUCAUUCGGAUGAGGUUUGAUAGAUUUUUUGAUAGAAAGCGGAAUUUCGAGGUUUUGAAAUUCAUAGGCUUGAAUCUGAGGGUGAUUUGGUGUUCUGGCAUUGUUUCGAGUGUUCCGAGGGUUGGAACAAGUUUGAAUAGUGUUAUGUGACUUGUUGGCGUGGUUGGUUGAGGUCCCGGGGGCCUCGGGGUGAUUUCGGAUGGUUGACGGGGAAUUUGGAGUUGGAAAUUUGCAGAUGAAGCUGCUGAAGUUCCUGUCAUAACCGCACCUGUAGCUUGGGGAUCGCAGGUGCGGGACCGUAGAAGCGGAUGAGCAGUGGCAAAUGCGGAAAUGGGCGAGAGGAUCUGGAACCACAUAUGCGGAGGUUCGAGCGCACCUGCGAUAGUGCAAUUGUCCUUGAGCGGAUAAGUGGCUUUCGCAGAUGCGCACCUAGGACCGCAGGUGCGGGUCUGCAAGUGCGAGAUUUUUGACCGCAUAAGCGGUUUAGCUGGGGCAGAACAUAUAAAUUAAGUCCUUCGCGAAUUUUCGGUUAUUCCACCAUUUUCACAUGCAAGUUUGAGUUUGGGAGAGCAAUUUGAAGAGGGAAUUCAAGAGGGUUUCGUGGAGGUAAAGGUUUUGGACCCUAAAAUUGAUUCUAUGAUGGUUUUUAACUGUUUAAGCUUGAAAUCUAUGGAAAUUAGUAGCAAAAUUGGGAAUUUAGGCCUUGGAAAUUGGUGACCAUAAUCUAGGGUUUUGAGCGGUCAUUUGUGGUCGGAUUUUGGUAUAUUUGGUGCGCAUGACCUCGUGAGAGUGUAAGGACUCUAGUUUUGUGAAUUUUAUCGGAAUCUGAGACGUGGGCCUGUGAGUCGAGUUUGGCCAAUUUCGGAAUUUUUGGUGUUAAUUGGUUAUUUUGGAGUGAGCUUUGUUCCCUUAGCAUAUUUUGAUGGUGUAAAUUUGUUUUUGGUUAGAUUUGGAGCAUCCAGAGGCCGAGUCGAGAGGCAAAGGCAUUGCAGGCUAGGGUUUGGACCCGAUUGAGGUAAGUAAUGAUUGUAAAUGUUGUCCUGAGUGUAUGAAACCUCGAAUUUCAUAUCGUUGUGCUACUUUGAGGUGAUGCACACGCUAGAUGACGAGCGUGGGGUCGUGCACAGUUGGGGACUGUGACUUAGUCCGUCCCGUAUGACUGUUAAGUCGCGUAUUUGGUUGAAAAAUGUUUGAUAUCAUUGUGUUUUGGAACAUAUUAUCAUGUUUUAGGCUGAAUGUCAUAUUUGGGCCUCGUGCCAACUAUUUUGGACCCUUAGGGGAUUUUUACUACUAUUCCUCACUGUUUUGACUUCACAUUUGUACUCAAUCAUGUUGUAUUCUACUGUUUUCAUAACUAAGUCAUAUUUACUUCGUUUUGAUAUUUUAAAUGACAUUUUGGGCUGAGCAUCAUGUUUUACUGUUGCCCGAGUGGCUUGAGAGAUUUCUGACUGAGUAAGGUCGAGGGCCUAUGUUGUGAGGAUAUUAUGGGGUCCGGCUGCGCGCCGCAGUAGUGUUGUACUGAUUCAUGAUUUUGAGGUCGAGGGCCUGAUUUUUUAUGCCUCAAGGUGGCUUGUUAUGAGACCGAGGACCUGUUUGAUUAUGCCACGAGAUGGCUUGUUAGAGCGCUUGGGCUGUAGGAGCCCCUCCAAGAGUCUCCACGCCCCCUGUGAGCGGGGGUACUUAGUGUGAGAUGUGAUGUUGCCCAAGGGGUUGUUGUUGUUUCAUGUUAUUGCCCGAGGGGCUGAUACGAGUGAGUGUGAGGUAGCGCAAGGGGCUGGUUCUAUUGAUAUUUUACCCGAGGAGCGCUUGUGGUAUAUGAUUUGCCCGAGGGGCUGUUUACAUUUCUAUUCUUUUCUCACUGUUUUCAUCACUCGGUUGAAACUAUUGAAUGUUGUUUAAAAAAGGUUUUACUGAACUGAGAUGUUUUUACGAGUGUUAUUGCGUUACUGCAUUAUUUUGGACUUAUACUAUUUUGUUGUAGCGUUAUGUUGUGGUUUAUGUGUUUUCUUACUGCUCAGUUGUCUUUACUUUUAUUAUUUACUGUGUUGGCAUACUCACAUUACUCCCUGCACCUUGUGUGUAAAUCUAGGAGCCUCGGGUCGCGAUAACGAGUGCUGAUUUGGCUUUCAGCAGGCUUUCGGAGUUGACUAGGUAGCUGCUUGGCGUUCGCGGCCCAGUGCUUCUCCUUCUUAUCUUUAUUUAGCUUUGCAUUAGCUUUGUUUCAGAAUAUGUUGCCUUUUCACAUUCCUAGACAAGUUGUAGACAUGACUGGUGACACCCCGAUGUCGGGCCGUGUUUUGUUUCCGCACUGUUCUAUUCUGUCUUACAUUUUGGGAUUUUAGCUUAUAAAUGACUUAUUAUAAUUGUUUGGUUGGUUUUGGGGGUUUGUGUCGGCUGACCUAGUUUCACGAUAGGCGCCAUCACGAUCGGGUCCGUUUUAGGUUUGUGACAACAAGACAAUAACAUUUCCAGAAACUUAUAAUAUAAAAGAGAAACGGAAGAAAAAGAAUUUUAACGAGCUCGUAAUCACUAACAUUGUCGUAUUACAAUUAGAAAACAUGAUGAAAGAAUUUAGGUAGAUCUUAACAUCACAAGUCUAGACAUGUAUCUCUAAAUCCUGACUUAAAAAUUAACCAUCUCAAACCCAACAAAUUUUAAAACGAAUGAAGCAAUAGAAAUUCGAUUUAGAGCUAACCUUUUUGGAGACAGUGAACUUGAGCUUUGAGGCUUCAGAUCCACUCCCUUUUGAUGAGAUUGAAACCAAUAGAGAUUAAAAAAAAUAACACUAGGGUCCUAUAAAGAUGAUAGUCAAAUGAAUAGCUUUGUUGAGGAAUUUUCGGAUGAUAAAACUUGGUUUUCUAGAGGAGAUUCCAGAAUGCCCUUCGGAUGAGACUUGGAGAGGUAUUUAUAGGCCAAAAACAAAGAUUUAGGGUUUCAUGAGCGGGAAUUAAAACUUUCAGAUUUCAAACAAAGUCAAACAGAGCUAUUCAAAUCCGAAUGUUGGAAUAGUAGCAGGGAUUCACGUGAUUCACUCAGUUCUUUCACGAAAUGGUAAGAUCUUGACUGAGGCGGAGAGAUUCGACAAGUCUUGUAGUGUAAAAAUGGGAGGAUCAUCUCUUGGUCAUCGAUACACGCCAAAAUAGAUGAGAGAAGGUCUUAUUUUGCUUGAAAUGGGCAGGCAAAAGCUGUACUUGAUUGUUGGAGGUUGAAUUUUAGCUAAAAAUGGAGAAGAGUACAAAGGCAUAGCUAUGAAGGACAAGGUUAAGAGAGGCACUAUUGCGGUCAAACGCACACAAGUAUACGUUUUUCUUUCUUUAAGCGCCAUAUGCCUUCUCUAAUUGUUGCUUAUUUACAUUUUUCUUGUCCUUCACUUGGGGGGAAAUACCAAAGUGUGUCCCCCUUUGUCUUAUUAUUAUUAUUAUUUUAAUUUUCUUUCUUUUUCUUUCGUAUUUUAUUCAAUUUUACUU